This 470-nucleotide long non-coding RNA is filed under the name Solanum tuberosum (potato). RNAcentral describes it as "long non-coding RNA (STUB_LNC000486)". The record is from RNAcentral. Lineage: Eukaryota; Viridiplantae; Streptophyta; Magnoliopsida; Solanales; Solanaceae.
UUUGUCAAAGGUUUGAACGUGGGACUUUAGUUAGCAGCACUCCAGAUGGUGUCUUAUAAUAAGACUUUUCAGGAAGUGGUAGAGCAUGUAAGGAGUGUGAAGGAGGUGAUAGUUUCAAUGAAUCCUUCUCUAAGGGGUUGAUCCUCAAGUAUACUCUCAAAACCCCUAUUUAGACAACGAUGCAGGUUUCAUCUGAGGGUCCGUCAAAGGUCAGCCAACAAUCAUCAAAUUAAAAAGGUUACUCUGUAUUUUUAAUUUUAGCAUAUUGACCUACAUUGGACAGGUUUUCUAUGAGUAUGGUCAAGUGGUACCCCAAAUUCAGACAUGGUAAAUAGGUAGUUCAACAACAGGCUUCUCGAGCCUUAGUUCCAACAUGUAGGAGAUGUGGCUCGUAUGGUAGACAUCAUCCUCAAUUUGGAUGGGGUGGUUACACAACAGAUAGAUAUGGUAUCCAUCCUAUUUGAGAUCAU